GGUUAAGCGACUAAGCGUACACGGUGGAUGCCCUGGCAGUCAGAGGCGAUGAAGGACGUGCUAAUCUGCGAUAAGCGUCGGUAAGGUGAUAUGAACCGUUAUAACCGGCGAUUUCCGAAUGGGGAAACCCAGUGUGAUUCGUCACACUAUCAUUAACUGAAUCCAUAGGUUAAUGAGGCGAACCGGGGGAACUGAAACAUCUAAGUACCCCGAGGAAAAGAAAUCAACCGAGAUUCCCCCAGUAGCGGCGAGCGAACGGGGAGCAGCCCAGAGCCUGAAUCAGUGUGUGUAUUAGUGGAAGCGUCUGGAAAGGCGCGCGAUACAGGGUGACAGCCCCGUACACAAAAAUGCACAUAUUGUGAGCUCGAUGAGUAGGGCGGGACACGUGGUAUCCUGUCUGAAUAUGGGGGGACCAUCCUCCAAGGCUAAAUACUCCUGACUGACCGAUAGUGAACCAGUACCGUGAGGGAAAGGCGAAAAGAACCCCGGCGAGGGGAGUGAAAAAGAACCUGAAACCGUGUACGUACAAGCAGUGGGAGCACGCUUAGGCGUGUGACUGCGUACCUUUUGUAUAAUGGGUCAGCGACUUAUAUUCUGUAGCAAGGUUAACCGAAUAGGGGAGCCGAAGGGAAACCGAGUCUUAACUGGGCGUUAAGUUGCAGGGUAUAGACCCGAAACCCGGUGAUCUAGCCAUGGGCAGGUUGAAGGUUGGGUAACACUAACUGGAGGACCGAACCGACUAAUGUUGAAAAAUUAGCGGAUGACUUGUGGCUGGGGGUGAAAGGCCAAUCAAACCGGGAGAUAGCUGGUUCUCCCCGAAAGCUAUUUAGGUAGCGCCUCGUGAAUUCAUCUCCGGGGGUAGAGCACUGUUUCGGCAAGGGGGUCAUCCCGACUUACCAACCCGAUGCAAACUGCGAAUACCGGAGAAUGUUAUCACGGGAGACACACGGCGGGUGCUAACGUCCGUCGUGAAGAGGGAAACAACCCAGACCGCCAGCUAAGGUCCCAAAGUCAUGGUUAAGUGGGAAACGAUGUGGGAAGGCCCAGACAGCCAGGAUGUUGGCUUAGAAGCAGCCAUCAUUUAAAGAAAGCGUAAUAGCUCACUGGUCGAGUCGGCCUGCGCGGAAGAUGUAACGGGGCUAAACCAUGCACCGAAGCUGCGGCAGCGACGCUGAUGCGUUGUUGGGUAGGGGAGCGUUCUGUAAGCCUGCGAAGGUGUGCUGUGAGGCAUGCUGGAGGUAUCAGAAGUGCGAAUGCUGACAUAAGUAACGAUAAAGCGGGUGAAAAGCCCGCUCGCCGGAAGACCAAGGGUUCCUGUCCAACGUUAAUCGGGGCAGGGUGAGUCGACCCCUAAGGCGAGGCCGAAAGGCGUAGUCGAUGGGAAACAGGUUAAUAUUCCUGUACUUGGUGUUACUGCGAAGGGGGGACGGAGAAGGCUAUGUUGGCCGGGCGACGGUUGUCCCGGUUUAAGCGUGUAGGCUGGUUUUCCAGGCAAAUCCGGAAAAUCAAGGCUGAGGCGUGAUGACGAGGCACUACGGUGCUGAAGCAACAAAUGCCCUGCUUCCAGGAAAAGCCUCUAAGCAUCAGGUAACAUCAAAUCGUACCCCAAACCGACACAGGUGGUCAGGUAGAGAAUACCAAGGCGCUUGAGAGAACUCGGGUGAAGGAACUAGGCAAAAUGGUGCCGUAACUUCGGGAGAAGGCACGCUGAUAUGUAGGUGAGGUCCCUCGCGGAUGGAGCUGAAAUCAGUCGAAGAUACCAGCUGGCUGCAACUGUUUAUUAAAAACACAGCACUGUGCAAACACGAAAGUGGACGUAUACGGUGUGACGCCUGCCCGGUGCCGGAAGGUUAAUUGAUGGGGUUAGCGCAAGCGAAGCUCUUGAUCGAAGCCCCGGUAAACGGCGGCCGUAACUAUAACGGUCCUAAGGUAGCGAAAUUCCUUGUCGGGUAAGUUCCGACCUGCACGAAUGGCGUAAUGAUGGCCAGGCUGUCUCCACCCGAGACUCAGUGAAAUUGAACUCGCUGUGAAGAUGCAGUGUACCCGCGGCAAGACGGAAAGACCCCGUGAACCUUUACUAUAGCUUGACACUGAACAUUGAGCCUUGAUGUGUAGGAUAGGUGGGAGGCUUAGAAGUGUGGACGCCAGUCUGCAUGGAGCCGACCUUGAAAUACCACCCUUUAAUGUUUGAUGUUCUAACGUUGACCCGUAAUCCGGGUUGCGGACAGUGUCUGGUGGGUAGUUUGACUGGGGCGGUCUCCUCCUAAAGAGUAACGGAGGAGCACGAAGGUUGGCUAAUCCUGGUCGGACAUCAGGAGGUUAGUGCAAUGGCAUAAGCCAGCUUGACUGCGAGCGUGACGGCGCGAGCAGGUGCGAAAGCAGGUCAUAGUGAUCCGGUGGUUCUGAAUGGAAGGGCCAUCGCUCAACGGAUAAAAGGUACUCCGGGGAUAACAGGCUGAUACCGCCCAAGAGUUCAUAUCGACGGCGGUGUUUGGCACCUCGAUGUCGGCUCAUCACAUCCUGGGGCUGAAGUAGGUCCCAAGGGUAUGGCUGUUCGCCAUUUAAAGUGGUACGCGAGCUGGGUUUAGAACGUCGUGAGACAGUUCGGUCCCUAUCUGCCGUGGGCGCUGGAGAACUGAGGGGGGCUGCUCCUAGUACGAGAGGACCGGAGUGGACGCAUCACUGGUGUUCGGGUUGUCAUGCCAAUGGCACUGCCCGGUAGCUAAAUGCGGAAGAGAUAAGUGCUGAAAGCAUCUAAGCACGAAACUUGCCCCGAGAUGAGUUCUCCCUGACCCUUUAAGGGUCCUGAAGGAACGUUGAAGACGACGACGUUGAUAGGCCGGGUGUGUAAGCGCAGCGAUGCGUUGAGCUAACCGGUACUAAUGAACCGUGAGGCUUAACCUU
Molecule: ribosomal RNA, 2904 nt
Filed under: Escherichia coli
Lineage: Bacteria; Pseudomonadati; Pseudomonadota; Gammaproteobacteria; Enterobacterales; Enterobacteriaceae
Description: 23S ribosomal RNA
Rfam family: Bacterial large subunit ribosomal RNA
Source: RNAcentral